GACGAACGCUGGCGGCGUGCUUAACACAUGCAAGUCGAACGGAAAGGCCCUGCUUUUGUGGGGUGCUCGAGUGGCGAACGGGUGAGUAACACGUGAGUAACCUGCCCUUGACUUUGGGAUAACUUCAGGAAACUGGGGCUAAUACCGGAUAGGAGCUCCUGCUGCAUGGUGGGGGUUGGAAAGUUUCGGCGGUUGGGGAUGGACUCGCGGCUUAUCAGCUUGUUGGUGGGGUAGUGGCUUACCAAGGCUUUGACGGGUAGCCGGCCUGAGAGGGUGACCGGGCCCAAUGGGGCUGAGAGACGGCCCAGGAUCCUACCGGGGGCAGCAGUGGGGAAUAUUGCACAAUGGGCGGAAGCCUGAUGCAGCAACGCCGCGUGCGGGAUGACGGCCUUCGGGUUGUAAACCGCUUUCGCCUGUGACGAAGCGUGAGUGACGGUAAUGGGUAAAGAAGCACCGGCUAACUACGUG
RNAcentral lists this ribosomal RNA (468 nucleotides) under uncultured bacterium. Its description in RNAcentral is "partial 16S ribosomal RNA". It matches the Rfam family "Bacterial small subunit ribosomal RNA", at positions 28 to 507 of the family's 1533-position model. The record is from RNAcentral.